This is a long non-coding RNA of Apis dorsata (giant honeybee), 541 nucleotides long. RefSeq lists it as uncharacterized. The transcript has 2 exons. NCBI's taxonomy places the organism in Eukaryota, Metazoa, Arthropoda, Insecta, Hymenoptera, Apidae. The record is from RefSeq and is a predicted model, not a curated record.
UACACGAUGAUGUGUACAUCGAUUUGAACGAACUUUCGUGGACAAAAUUUUGCAUCAGAAGUCACACAUGGUUGGGCCAUGUGGGUUUGGGCGGUAAGUUGGAUCGACAGGCGCAUUGUCAGUGCGAUUAAUCGAACGAUAAGUUGGACCCGUACACCGAGGAGAGUGAUUGACGCCACCACGAUAAGGCUUGAUGGCGAGCGAGAGAGAGAGAGAGAGAGAGAGAGAGAGAGAGAGAGAACGCAAUGUGGAAAAAGUUGAAUAGUUUAACGGGAUUUAACUUUCUAUAAUUGUACUUUUUUCCACGAGAUCAACGGUGCAAUUGCAUUUCGAAUAAAACUUUUUUACAUAAAUCGAAUCCUUUUAUCAGUCGAGGUUUCAAAUUCUUCUUCCCAAUUUUUUUUUUUUUUUUUUUUUUUUUUUUUUAGAAUAAAACGAGAAUAGUAGAAUGUUCAUUUUUCGCGCAAAGUAAGAGAAUCAUUGCGAUAAAAAAUUUUUUUUAUUGACCAUUUUUCCAUAAAAAGAUUGUAAAGUUUCAAUG